CAGAGUACCACGGGACACGUGAAACCCUGUGGGAAGCAGGAGGGACCACCCUCCAAGGCUAAAUACUACCUAGUGACCGAUAGCGUAUAGUACCGUGAGGGAAAGGGGAAAAGAACCCCGGGAGGGGAGUGAAAUAGAACCUGAAACCCUGCACUUACAAGCUGUGGAAGCACAUUUCUUGUGUGACCGCGUACUUUUUGUAGAACGGGCCAA
Molecule: ribosomal RNA, 213 nt
Filed under: Clostridioides difficile
Lineage: Bacteria; Bacillati; Bacillota; Clostridia; Peptostreptococcales; Peptostreptococcaceae
Description: partial 23S ribosomal RNA
Rfam family: Bacterial large subunit ribosomal RNA
Source: RNAcentral